Castor canadensis (American beaver) is the source of this 2001-nucleotide non-coding RNA. Lineage: Eukaryota; Metazoa; Chordata; Mammalia; Rodentia; Castoridae. The record is from RefSeq and is a predicted model, not a curated record.
CACACAUAUACCUACAUAUGUACAUAUUUAUAUUUUUCUGUAUUAUGGUAGGAUGUAUUUCUUGUGGUAAAAGUGCUACACCAAGGUUACAUAGAUCUAUUUGUAUAACUACCAUUUCAUUAUAUGUGUUAACACCAUAUUUUAAAAAUUAUUAUAGUGGUUUUGUAGUGUUAUAGGAUCUGCUGGGUUGAAUGUCAGCCUUUAUGCCCCAAAUGUAUGUAUUCUCUCUGGAUGUUCUUUUGCUUUGACUGCUUCAUUCAUGAAGAUGAAGAUCAUAUAUCACUUCUUUUCUGCAGGUGUUUAUAGCACAUAGCACAUUGAGUAAUUACAAAUAAUCUCAGUAGUAUUUUUAGUAUGUGCCAGGAGCAGAGCUAAUUACUUUAUGUAUAUUACCUGUUUAACCUUAACUCUAAGAAGUAAUAUUAUCCACAUUUUGUAGUUGAAAAAAAAAUCAAGGCAAAACAUAAAUCACUUGCUCAAGGUUGGAGUAAGUAACACAUGCUCACAUGCUCGUCUGCCCCCUUAAUACCCUUUUAUGACCUUUCUAGUAAUUGCUCAAGAAAAAUGUUUUGUAUAAACUGUAGAGCUCACUACCUCAUUCCAUCUUGCAUGUAGGUCUUCUUUACAGAUCCUCACAAAUGACAUCUUACUCCACAUUAUGUAUAGUGACUUCUUCCCUACUCUCAAAAGACUGUCCUAAGAUGUGAGGGCUAUCUGUCACCCCAUUGAUCACUGGGGUUUAUUUGGCUGAUUUGGCUUGAUAGAUGGGUGUCACCUUUCUUCUUCACCACUCCAUGUAUGUCUCUCCUGAAGACCAAGGGUAUACAAGUAGCUGUACUCCCCUGCUAGAACCUCUAGAUGAGCUCCAAAUGAGUUAAUGUAGUAGACCCUUGGUAUCUGCAGGUAUAUGGUCCCAAGGAGACCACUGUUGAGGAAGACAUACUAAUGCACAGGAUACGUAGAGUUCAGUACUCUAAAAUUACUCCCAAUUUAUCUAUACUGUACAUACAAUUGGUCCAAGCAUCCAUUACUUGAAACAUAGAGUAGGCUAAAUUACUGUUGUACACAUUGAUACUACUCAUCAACAACAACAACAAAAAAGUAGGUCUUAUUUUAUGUUCUUAAUUUCAAAUAUUGGAAAGCUUAAUUCAUUUUUCCCUUUAUACCGCUCAGCUUCAGCUAAAGACAUGCUGCCUUUCAACAAAUCUAAAAUUUUCACUUUGUCACUUAAAUUAAGCACAUUAUGUGUCCCCUUUGGCUUAGGAGGAUUGCCAUAACUUUUACCUUGCCUUUAGAACAGUGUUUGCUUUUGGGGAGGUUCACAAAAUUAAGGACAGGGAACCACUCAGCAGAUUACACAAUGAUUUAAGCACAAGCAGUGAUAAUAGGACUGAAUGAGAUUUUCUCCUCAACAAUGGGGCUAUGUAAUGUGCAUGUGGAAGUUUAAAAAUUUUGUUUUUGAAAUUUCUUUUUGAUUUUUUUUUUUUCUUGAUUGAACUUGGUCAAAACCACGUGAUAAAUUCAUGAAUAAGGCAGGAUUAUUGUAUUGCUAUAUUGUAUUUCAUCUUGUUUUUCUAACCUCCAUCUUUGGAAAAGUCUUGUGGUUGAUCUUGAGGUGAGUUUCGUAGAUUGUGAAGAUUUUGAGUAGAUCGGAAUACUAUCCCCUUCAUUAUUUCUGAAAUAUUAACUCAAAAUACAUACCCUGUAGAUGACUUGUUAGGAUAUGUUCUCAAGAUGUAAAAUGUGAAGAAUGCUGUUUAGACCCUUCUAUGCCUCUUAAUUCAUGCUGUCAGGUACCAUCAGAGGACCAGAAAUUUUGAAGAAGAUAGAAAGCUCAUGGAAUUGGAUUGACAACAAAAUCUCAGAGGAAACGGAACCCAAGAUACUUGAGUAAUAAAUACAUAAAUCCUAUUAUGAAAUACUGGAAAAACAAUGAGUUCAUGGUGUGACCCAGCAUGGGCAGAGAUGACAAAUGCAAGCAUCCCAUAGACACAGCUAACA